RNAcentral lists this long non-coding RNA (1491 nucleotides) under Dromaius novaehollandiae (emu). RNAcentral's name for it is "lncRNA (ENSDNVG00000003366.1)". Lineage: Eukaryota; Metazoa; Chordata; Aves; Casuariiformes; Dromaiidae. The record is from RNAcentral.
CCGUCCCCCCCCCCGAGCUGCCACCCUGUCACCUCACGGGCGCGGGGGCACCCCGGGGUGCCACAGGUGACGGGGACGAGACCCCGGCGCUGAGCCUGGCCGUGCCCUCGACGUCCCCCCCCGGGGGCCCCCGCGACGCCGCUGCCACCCCCCCGUCCUCGCCCUCCAUGGCCGCCGCCACCCCGGGGUGAGCACCCACGGGUGCCGGGGGGAUGCCGGGGCCCCGGGGGGGCAGGGGGGGGGGCCAGCGCCGAGCACCUGCAUCCCCGGGGUGGGAGCACCCAGGGUGGGAGGCUCUGGGUGGGAGCCCAUGGGUGCUGGGUCCUUGGGUGGGAGCCCAUGGGUGCUGGGUCUUUGGGUGGGAGCCCAUGGGUGGUGGGUCUCUGGGGAGGAUCCCAUGGGUUCUGGGUCUCCAGGGUUGGGAUCCCAUGGGUGCUGGGUCCCCGAGGUGGGAUCCCCAUGGGUGCUGGGUCCCUGGCGUGGGAUCCCAUGGGUGCUGUGUCCCAGGGGUAGGAUCCCAUGGGUGCUGGGUCCCUGGCAUGGGAUCCCCUGGGUGCCGGCUCCCCGGGGUGGGAACUCAUGGGUGCUGGGUCCUUCGGGUGGUAUCCCAUGGGUGCUAGGUCUCCAGGGCGGGAGUCUAUGGGUGCUGUGUCCCAAGGGUGGGAUCCCAUGGAGAUUGGGUCCCUGGGGUGGGAUCGCAUGGGUUGGGAUCCCAUGGGUGCCGGGUCCCUGGGAUGGGAUCCCCUGGGUGCCAGCUCCCCGGGGUGGGAUCCCAUGGGUGCUGAGUCCCCGGGGUGGGAUCCCAUGGGUGCUGUGUCCCAGGGUUGGGAUCCCAUGGGUGCUGGGUCACCGAGGUGGGAUCCCCAUGGGUGCUGGGUCCCUGGUGUGGGAUUCCAUGGGUGUUGUGUCCCAAGGGUGGGAUCCCAUGGGUGCUGGGUCCUUGGGGUGGGAUCCCAUGGGUGCUAGGUCUCCAGGGCGGGAGUCUAUGGGUGCUGUGUCCCCUGGGUGGGAUCCCAUGGGCACUGGGUUCCUGGCGUGGGAUCCCAUGGGCGCUGUGUCCCAAGGGUGGAAUCCCAUGGAGAUCGGGUCCCUGGGGUGGGAUCGCAUGGUUUGGGAUCCCAUGGGUGCUAGGUCCUUGGGUUGGGAUCCCAUGGGUGCUGGGUCCCUGGGAUGGGAUCCCAUGGGUGCCGGCUCCCCAGGGUGGGAUCCCCUGGGUGCUGGGUCCUUGGGUUGGGAUCCCAUGGGUGCCGGGUCCCCAAGGUGGGAUCCCAUGGGUGCUGGGUCCUUGGGUUUGGUUCCCAUGGGUGCCGGGUCACUGGCACGGGAUCCCACGGGUGCCGGCUCCCCGGGGUGGGAUCCCCUGGGUGCCAGCUCCCCGGGGUGGUAUCCCAUGGGUGCCGGCUCCCCGGGGCUCCCUAACCCCCCCGCCCCGUGCUCCCCGCCGGCAGCGGGGCGGGCGACGCGCUGGGGCUGCAGGUGGACUUCUGGGUG